UAAUUUAGCUUUUGAAAAGAUUUACUGACUACCAGUGGUCGUUUUUCUAGCAUUAGCCCCAUUUUUGAAGUUGCGGGGUCUUUUGGUCAUUGGAUUAUGAACCACCGGUACACUCUCACAUAUUCGGAGAAGGAAACUAAGUUUUUGACCUGAUGGCUAACUACGCCAGUUAUAACAUAGAAGUAGCAUAUCCCCAUUCUCUUGUAUUUUGGUAAUUUGGUUAAAGAUCUCCCUGGGUCUAAGUUCCUAAGGAAAUCUGUAUGUAAUGAUUAUCUUCACCGCUUAAACUUGCAUUCACUUGUAACGCCGAUAAACAAACUUGUAACUUUCCUAUUUGAACGCUCAUACUAGAUAAAUUGGUAAUUAUAAAUGUCUCCAUCAACGCGUGAUCCUGCGUGAUCCUCCACUGCGCUGACAAAGACGAAAUGUCAAAUUUUAAGGACAAUUCUCAUAAGCUAUUGUCACUUAAAUGCCUUUCUAAAAAUCCUCCUCCAUUACUUCUCCCCCAUAAUCGUCUCCGCACUUACGCCACUGUCACACCUCCUUUUUUACACACCUACCCCGAAAGAAUAAUGUAUAAGAGAGUUUUUCCAUUUAAAGUGACAUUAUUCGGAUCGAGAUUAAUUAUUUGUUCAGAGUCGCCACUUGGGAAAGGUUUAGCAUUUGCUGUCCCAAGUCACUGGUUUAGCUUGAAUCCCAAUCCGAGGAAAAUGUUCGACUUCCCAAUUGGAGUCUGCGAACCAGAAAUUCUAAAUAAGGAAUUUUGUUGACCCGAGGGAAGGUGUUAGGCUCCCUCGGAUCCUGUGGUUCUAGCACGGUCGCUUAAAUUGCUAUGAAUGACUAAAAUUUGAUUUUAUUACAUGAAGAGCCUAUGUGCCAAUUUUUUACUUUUUACCGCUUUUAUUCAACACAAUAUUUAUUUGAGAAAGUGAACGUCGUUUAAAACGUGUUUUCGGCUUGCGCCGCAUCAAAUGAACCCGCAAUCCUAGGCACACUUUAUUCAACAUUUUAGGAUUUGGAUUUGGGUCGCAUAAAAUACUCACCCAUAUUUAGGAAUGUAAUUUAUUAAAGUUGUGCCUAAUAGAGCCUAACACAUUGUAAUCUUUUGGGAGGGCCGUGAAAUUCGCUAAACGGCGCUUUCCGAUAUUUCUAAAUAUUUUUAGCUUAUUGAGGGCCCCCUAAUAUUGUAUAUUUAUUGGGCGAGGCGAGGCUCAUUUUAUUUUAAAAAGAUAAACCUAAAAGAUAGCUGUAUUUUUUUACUUUUAGAAUUUUUGUCCCUAGAAAAGAAAGAUCUUAAAUGAUUACAUUUAAAAUCUGGGCCUUAAGUUCAAAUUCGGGUCCAAACAAAAGGACGAGCCUUUUAGUUUAAAACCCUUUACGUAACUCAAAAUCGAAUUUCAAAAAUCAAUUAAAACCUUUAAUUCGGACUCCUUGGAAAACAGGCUCAAACCAUGAGCCCAAGUACUUGCCUCAGGCAGCAGAACUUCGAAGCUGAGCCCCAAAAUUGGCCCAAUCUCAAAUUAAUGGGAGACAGGGGGAACGAAUACCCAACGAGCAUCUACUCAAGUCUAAUUUCCAAAACGAAGUGAGGGGCCUUGCUUCCCUAAUUACAUGCCUGGAAUUUUUAGGUAUCAAAUGGAUAACAAUAUUGGGCCUAACAUUAAACAACAAGCCCAAACAACAUGCCCAAUUAAACAGCUCGUGAUUUACAAACAAAGCAUAUUAACUAUUAUAGCCAAAUUCUAUAGAUUCUGGUACCUAAAUUAGCAUGGUAACAAUGUUAUAUUCUAAUGCUCAUAUGAAUCAAACAGUGUUUACUCAUGAAAUUCCUUGCCAUUUGGAUUUAACUACUUCGAAAUACAUCAUGAAGGCUUAAAAAAAUAUGAGAUUCAGAAUUAAACAACCACUAAGCUAUAGUUCAAUUCAAUAGUUACAUGUAGAAUUAGGAAAGCCAUAGAGUCAGUCAAGUUUCCACAGUUCAAAAUCUCGUUACUAUACAUAGAACUCCUAAGCUUAUGUUCUAUCAUAUUAGGAAAUUACAUAUAUCAUCCACCUAUAUUCAUAUAUGUAAUAAAACAAUUAACAUGUCUUCAAUCAGUAACUUUGAUUCCAUUUCAUUUCAAGCAGGGAAAAUUAUAUUGACACAAGCUCAACAUCACAGCAGGGAUACAUAACUGUGUGCCUGGAAUUCGAGAAAGCAAAGAAGAGUGAGGAUUCGACAGGCAAAAUAAUAAUACAGUCUUUCAACAUUGAAAUCUACCCAGCAAGAAUCAGAAGGAAAUUCACUUGAAAACCAAGCCACUUUAACAGCCCCCAAACAUCAGGAACACACCCCACACAAGCUCAAAUGAAACUCGAGAAUAAAUUAAAAUCUAUAGAUCUCAGAUACCAACAGAAAAAAAAUCAAUGAAACAACGGAAAUUCUUUUGUUGUUUUCUUUUCUUGUAUAUGUACUAUUUUUGUAUUUUUUAAUACUUGAAUGCAGAAAUUAAUUUGAAGCUAAAGGAGAAUUAGAUUUUUUUGGGAUUUUUUCAACUUUAAAGUUCAAGCCCCCUUUCCAAGGCAUCAAAUGCCCUUUUAUAGAGAAAAAUAGAGGCAACACUCAGAUUUUUUAUUUGCACCAUUAGUACCUACUUAUUUACUACUUUGGACCCUCAAUUAUUCUUUUUUUCGCUAUUUAGUCCUCCUAAUCUUGACUUGAAGCCCAAGUUUAUCCAUUCAAAGCCUGAAAUUGGCCCUUAGUCCCUGCUGGAAGCUUUCUCUUUCAGUUAAGAUUCCCGCACUUAAACUACCCAAAACACCCUUAAACACCCCUGAAAUUACUGACCUUCCCAACCUCGGUUAACCCCAAACCUGUUACCCCAGUUAAGACUAACUAAGGUUAUCUAAUAAGCUAUAACCAAUCUCACAAACAAAACAAACGACCCAAAAUAAAUCCAGAAGAACAGCAGCCAAAAUCAAAGAAAAGUUUCAAAUCAAUAUCUUAUUGAAACAAAUGAGAAGAUUAAGUAAGCUAACGACUAAUUAACGUUUGAGCAUUCGAACUAACAACGAAUCAAAAACCAAUCAGAAUUUAAACGAAAGACUAAGGACUGGCCUAAGACGAAUUAACUUAUCGAUUUUAACAAUCUAAAAGGUGAAAUCAGCUUUAAUUUAUGCUCGAUUGAACUAAACAAAACGACGAAUCAAAUGAAAACUAAAGAAAGAAAGCAUACAGAAUUCAGCCUUCGAAUCAAAACUCCGGCAUCUCCGAUUCGACCCGAGAUUGGUAUUGGUCGCAUGUUCUUCUAAACGAAUAAACAAUAUCGAUCUCAGGCCUAAUCGUUCCCUAAGGACUCGAAUAUACUGAGAGAUUUCUUCCCUUCAACUUCUGAUUAAAACUGGCCCGACUUGGUGGGGAGUUUAUGAGAAGUAGAGGUGGAUUUGGGCUCAGGAAUGAACGAUGGUGGCGUGGUUGAACUUUGAAGGCGGAUUGACCUUCUCGCUGGCCGGAAAUGGUGGAUUAGAGUUGAAAAACUUCUGGUGAUUGAGAGAAGAUGAAGAUGGAGAGGCUUUGGAACUGAAA
RNAcentral lists this long non-coding RNA (3565 nucleotides) under Nicotiana benthamiana. RNAcentral describes it as "long non-coding RNA (NBEN_LNC026585)". The record is from RNAcentral. Lineage: Eukaryota; Viridiplantae; Streptophyta; Magnoliopsida; Solanales; Solanaceae.